AUGCACGCUGGCGGCGUGCCUAAUACAUGCAAGUCGAGCGAACAGACGAGGAGCUUGCUCCUCUGACGUUAGCGGCGGACGGGUGAGUAACACGUGGAUAACCUACCUAUAAGACUGGGAUAACUUCGGGAAACCGGAGCUAAUACCGGAUAAUAUAUUGAACCGCAUGGUUCAAUAGUGAAAGACGGUUUUGCUGUCACUUAUAGAUGGAUCCGCGCCGCAUUAGCUAGUUGGUAAGGUAACGGCUUACCAAGGCAACGAUGCGUAGCCGACCUGAGAGGGUGAUCGGCCACACUGGAACUGAGACACGGUCAGACUCCUACGGGAGGCAGCAGUAGGGAAUCUUCCGCAAUGGGCGAAAGCCUGACGGAGCAACGCCGCGUGAGUGAUGAAGGUCUUCGGAUCGUAAAACUCUGUUAUUAGGGAAGAACAAAUGUGUAAGUAACUAUGCACGUCUUGACGGUACCUAAUCAGAAAGCCACGGCUAACUACGUG
RNAcentral lists this ribosomal RNA (495 nucleotides) under uncultured bacterium. RNAcentral's name for it is "partial 16S ribosomal RNA". It matches the Rfam family "Bacterial small subunit ribosomal RNA", at positions 29 to 507 of the family's 1533-position model. The record is from RNAcentral.